This 497-nucleotide ribosomal RNA is filed under the name uncultured bacterium. RNAcentral's name for it is "partial 16S ribosomal RNA". It matches the Rfam family "Bacterial small subunit ribosomal RNA", at positions 28 to 507 of the family's 1533-position model. The record is from RNAcentral.
GAUGAACGCUGGCGGCGUGCCUAAUACAUGCAAGUCGAGCGAACAGACGAGGAGCUUGCUCCUCUGACGUUAGCGGCGGACGGGUGAGUAACACGUGGAUAACCUACCUAUAAGACUGGGAUAACUUCGGGAAACCGGAGCUAAUACCGGAUAAUAUAUUGAACCGCAUGGUUCAAUAGUGAAAGACGGUUUUGCUGUCACUUAUAGAUGGAUCCGCGCCGCAUUAGCUAGUUGGUAAGGUAACGGCUUACCAAGGCAACGAUGCGUAGCCGACCUGAGAGGAUGAUCGGCCACACAGGAACUGAGACACGGUCCAGAAUCCUACGGGAGGCACGAGAAGGGAAUCUUACGCAAUGGGCGAAAGCCUGACGGAGCAACACCGCGUGAGUGAUGAAGGUCUUCGGAUCGUAAACCUCUGUUAUUAGGGAAGAACAAAUGUGUAAGGAACUAUGCACGUCUGUACGGUACCUAAUCAGACAGCCACGGCUAACUACGUG